CCUGGUUGAUCCUGCUAGUAGUCAUAUGCUUGUCUCAAAGAUUAAGCCAUGCAUGUCUAAGUAUGAACUAAUUCAGACUGUGAAACUACAGAUGGCUCAUUAAAUCAGUUAUAGUUUUCUUGAUGGUACCAUACUACUCGGAUAACCAUAGUAAUUCUAGAGCUAAUACGUGCACCAAGUCCCAACUCUUUGGAAGGGAUGCAUUUUUUAGAUAAAAGGUUGGCGCGAGCUUGCCCGCUUCUCUGGUGAAUCAUGAUAACUCGACGAAUUGCACAGCCCUUGUGCUAGCAAUGCCUCAUUCAAAUUUCUGCCCUAUCAACUUUCAAUGGUAGGAUAGAGGCAUACCAUGGUGGUGAUAGGUGAUAGAGAAUUAGGGUUUGAUUAUGGAGAGGGAGCCUGAGAAACGGCUACCACAUCCAAGGAAGGUAGUAGGCGCACAAAUUACCCAAUCCUGACAUGGGCAUGUAGUUACAAUAAAUAACAAUACUAGGCUCAUCGAGUCUGGUAAUUGGAAUGAAUACAAUCUAAAUCCCUUAAUGAGGAUCCAUUGGAGGGAAAGUUUGGUACCAACAGCCGCUGUAAUUCCUGCUCCAAUAGCGUAUAUUUAAGUUUUUGCAGUUAAAAAUCUCAUAGUUGGAUAUUGGGUCGUAAAGGUCGGUCCACCUGCUCAAUGUGCACCUGCCCUUCCAUCCCUUUUGUCGGUGGCGUGCUCCUAGCCUUAAUUGGCUGGGUCGUGGCUCUGGCGCUAUUACUUUGAAAAAAUUAGAGUGCUCAAAGCAAUCUUAUGCUCUGAAUACAUUAGCAUGGAAUAAUGUGAUAGGAGUCUGGUCCUAUUGUGUUGGCCUUCAGGACCAGAGUAAUGAUUAAUAGGGACUAUCAGGGGCAUUCAUAUUUCAUUGUCAGAGGUGAAAUUCUUGGAUUUAUGAAAGACAGACCACUGCGAAAGCAUUUGCCAAGGAUGUUUUCAUUAAUCAAGAAUGAAAGUUGGGGGCUCGAAGACGAUCAGAUACCAUCCUAGUCUCAACCAUAAACGAUGUUGACCAGGGAUCAGCAGAUGUUGCUCUAAGGACUCCGCCAGCACCUUCUGAGAAGUCAGAGUGUUUGGGUUUCAGGGGCAGUAUGGUCACAAUGCUGAAACUUAAAGGAAUUGAUGGAAGGGCACCACCAGGAGUGGAGUCUGCGGCUUAAUUUGACUCAACACGGGGAAACUUACCAGGUCCAGACAUAGUAAGGAUUGAUAUAUUAAGAGAUCUUUCUUGAUUCUAUGGGUGGUGGUGCAUGGCCGUUCUUAGUUGGUGGAGUGAUUUGUCUAGUUAAUUCCAAUAAUGAACGAGACGUCAACUUGCGAACUAGCCAUGCAGAGGUUCCCCUUCGUAGCCAGCUUCUUAGAGGGGCUAUGGCCAUUUAGGCCAUGGAAGUUUGAGGCAAUAAUAGGUCUGUGAUGCCCUUAGAUGUUCUGGGCCACACGCACGCUACAUUGAUGUAGCCAAUGAGUUUUUCUUCCUGGUUUGAGAGGAUCGGGAAAUCUUCUCAAAUUGCAUCAUGAUGGGGAUAGACCAUUGCAAUUAUUGGUAUUCAACAAGGAAUUCCUAGUAAGCAUGUGUCAUCAACUCGUGUUGACUACAUCCCUGCCCUUUGUACACACUACCUGUCGCUCCUACUGAUUGAAUGAUUCGAUGAAGUGUUCAGAUUGCAUCGAUGAUGAUGGUUCACCGCCAUCGAUGGCGUGAGAAGUUCAUUGAACCUUAUUAUUUAGAGGAAGGACAAGUCGUAACAAGGUUACCAUAGGUGAACCUACGGUAG
RNAcentral lists this ribosomal RNA (1803 nucleotides) under Pinus taeda (loblolly pine). RNAcentral describes it as "SSU rRNA". It matches the Rfam family "Eukaryotic small subunit ribosomal RNA". Lineage: Eukaryota; Viridiplantae; Streptophyta; Pinopsida; Pinales; Pinaceae. The record is from RNAcentral.